GACGAACGCUGGCGGCGUGCUUAACACAUGCAAGUCGAACGGAAAGGCCCUGCUUUUGUGGGGUGCUCGAGUGGCGAACGGGUGAGUAACACGUGAGUAACCUGCCCUUGACUUUGGGAUAACUUCAGGAAACUGGGGCUAAUACCGGAUAGGAGCUCCUGCUGCAUGGUGGUGGUUGGAAAGUUUCGGCGGUUGGGGAUGGACUCGCGGCUUAUCAGCUUGUUGGUGGGGUAGUGGCUUACCAAGGCUUUGACGGGUAGCCGGCCUGAGAGGGUGACCGGCCACAUUGGGACUGAGAUACGGCCCAGACUCCUACGGGAGGCAGCAGUGGGGAAUAUUGCACAAUGGGCGGAAGCCUGAUGCAGCAACGCCGCGUGUGGGAUGACGGCCUUCGGGUUGUAAACCGCUUUCGCCUGUGACGAAGCGUGAGUGACGGUAAUGGGUAAAGAAGCACCGGCUAACUACGUG
This 468-nucleotide ribosomal RNA is filed under the name uncultured bacterium. RNAcentral describes it as "partial 16S ribosomal RNA". It matches the Rfam family "Bacterial small subunit ribosomal RNA", at positions 28 to 507 of the family's 1533-position model. The record is from RNAcentral.